AGUGACAAGCUGUUCUACCACUAGGUACAAUGUUUGCUUUUUUUUUUUUUUUUUUUUUUUUUUUUACAUUUUCCUUUCUUACCUUGCAGCAGAGCAUUCUACAUACAUAUCCGCCUGGAGGAAUGCCCAGGGGCUUGUGAAACUAAUUUUGAACUCACCAUGCACUGCUUUUUCACAGGCUGAAAGAGUCAGCAUUAAGGAUCAGUGUGAGUGGUCAAACAAGAGGGAUCCUCAACAGCCUAUUUUAAAUGCUCAACCAAAUGGAGACCAGUGUUCAAACCAAUUUAAAAAGGAAGAGGAUUCAUCUGAGAAGUAUGUCAACCCCUUGAGAGCUCAAGCUCAAGUCUUAUGCAUCAACAGUGCAGCUUCUUCAUGCCCGGUCAAAGCAUUUCCGUUGGCACACAGAAAUCAUUACUACUUUAGGGCAUCACAAAAUCCGACCUCGAAGGUCUUUGUUAAAAACUGUGACAUUACAAAGACAACAAGUCCACUAGUAGCAGGUAAAGAAAAUGAAGGCCAAACAAAAUCAAAUUGGGAAUUGGGAGCCACUGAGAGAAGGAAAAAUGGUCUGCAAAUGAGGAAAGAAGCAGAGCAAGAGGAUGAGAGGAAGCAAAAGAAUAUGCAUGAAGUAGUUCGAAAACAAAGGCAAGCGCUCCACGGGGCCAUGAAAGAACAGCAACAGGAGUGCAAGAACAGAGGUGGUUCCGAGGAGAAGAAGAGAUGUGCUCAUGAAGCUGACACAAAUGAAGAACAAUUGCAUGUCUUUCCUAGACAGAACCAAAGUGUGACAGUGUGAGCCUACUGCAGAGCCCAUUGCUCCCUUUCUCAGCCUCAAGAGGGCAGUGUUGAAGCUGAGCAGGUGGACCAGAGCUCAGGCACACUGAGUGAAGUUGGCAGUCCUGUGAGUGCAGCUGAUGUGAGCUGGGCUCAAAACCGUUUGGCAACUUACAGAUACAGAGUGGAAGCUCUCAGGAAGACAAUUGGUGCUCUGGAUACACACAUGGAUGAUGAGGCAGCCUGGCUGGUAAUCACAGACCACAAAGGAGCUCUGAGACAGUCACAACCCGCUGGACAGGGCAUCCGUGGAGCCGAAUCAAGGGAAACUUUGUCUGAUUUUGUAUCUCUGGAUAGAGAUGCAGAGAAAAACCACAGAUAAAAAGGGAUGUCAAUUAAAAACGAGAUUAAAGAUGAAAAAGAUGAAUUGGAUAUGGGACUGUGUGUUGCAGAGACAACAUUCAGACCGCAGACUGACCACACAGAAAAAGGACAAGAGGAGCGAAGUGACUGCAGUGAGAGCACUGACUCCACCAGCAAGAUCCUGCAUCCCCUCCUUUGUCUUCAACCAGCUGUGACAGAAAAACUGACCAUAUUAUGGAUCAAGCAGCAGUGGAAAUUCUCCUCCUCUCCCAGGGGGAUCUGUUCCUUGAGGCCCACACACAGAGGUAUUUGGAUUGGGUUCCCUUUGUUCAUUAUGAUGACACCAGCCUCUGUGUGUUUUUCUACAUAACUCUGGAACUUCCAGAGUUAUGUAGAGUGGGUGCUUGUCCACCGUGGAUUCCCCUUGACCAUCGUGGAGUGUGAGGAGAAAAACCAACGUACCUGCCCCUGACUGUCGUCCAGUGGAGGCUCCAGCCUCUGACUGUCAUCCCGUGAAGACUCCAGCCCCUGACUGUCGUCCAGUGAAGGCUCCAGCCCCUGACCGUCGUCCCGUGAUGGCUCCAGCCCCUGACCGUCAUCCAGUGAUGACUACAGUCCCAGUCCAGAGCCCAGAGAGGGCUUGUGUUUUGUGUUCGUGUCCAGAGCCCAGAGAAGACAUCAGCCAAAAAGCCCAUUCCAGAGUCUGCUUCAGCCCAGUAGCCCAUCCAAGAGUCCGUUCCAGCCAAGAACAUGCACCAGACCAUAAACCCUUAGAUCCUCCCAAGAAAAUUUUUGGGGGGGUGCAGUAUGUCCUCGGCCGUAGUGGUCAAGCAAAGCCCCUGGGUGAAGGCCACGGAGGCAGUACCGCCAUGGCCCCCUGGGCGCCGCCCUGGAGGCUUUCCUGUCCCACCUAGCCACAUCCUCGUCAGCCUCCAGAGCACCCACCCUACCACCUUUGUGGAUGUAAUACAGUGUGAGGUCGCGCCUGUCAGGAGAGCGGGAUACUGUAACGUUUGAGUUGUGUUUUUGUUCUGUUUAGUAGUUCAUGUUUAGAGUUUGUUUUUCAUUAGUCACAUGUUCUUUGUUCUCAGUUUCCCGCCACUUGUUUGUUACUAAGGUUUCUGAUCUGAUUAGUGUUUAAGUUCAGCUGUGUCUCAUUAAUUAGCUCCUCAUUUCUUUGUUUUUAAUCCCUGUUUGUUCUGUUCAGUUGUCACUUCUC
Long non-coding RNA from Megalobrama amblycephala (Wuchang bream), 2356 nucleotides. RefSeq lists it as uncharacterized. The record is from RefSeq and is a predicted model, not a curated record. The transcript has 6 exons. NCBI's taxonomy places the organism in Eukaryota, Metazoa, Chordata, Actinopteri, Cypriniformes, Xenocyprididae.